UAGGGAAUCUUCCGCAAUGGGCGAAAGCCUGACGGAGCAACGCCGCGUGAGUGAUGAAGGUCUUCGGAUCGUAAAACUCUGUUAUUAGGGAAGAACAAAUGUGUAAGUAACUAUGCACGUCUUGACGGUACCUAAUCAGAAAGCCACGGCUAACUACGUGCCAGCAGCCGCGGUAAUACGUAGGUGGCAAGCGUUAUCCGGAAUUAUUGGGCGUAAAGCGCGCGUAGGCGGUUUUUUAAGUCUGAUGUGAAAGCCCACGGCUCAACCGUGGAGGGUCAUUGGAAACUGGAAAACUUGAGUGCAGAAGAGGGAAGUGGAAUUCCGUGUGUAGGGGUGAAAUGCGCAGAGGUAUGGAGGAACACCAGUGGCGAAGGCGACUUUCUGGUCUGUAACUGACGCUGAUGUGCGAAAGCGUGGGGAUCAAACAGG
RNAcentral lists this ribosomal RNA (429 nucleotides) under Actinomycetes bacterium. RNAcentral describes it as "Actinobacteria bacterium partial 16S ribosomal RNA". It matches the Rfam family "Bacterial small subunit ribosomal RNA", at positions 355 to 776 of the family's 1533-position model. The record is from RNAcentral. Lineage: Bacteria; Bacillati; Actinomycetota; Actinomycetes.